This 401-nucleotide ribosomal RNA is filed under the name Salpingoeca fusiformis. Its description in RNAcentral is "partial small subunit ribosomal RNA". It matches the Rfam family "Eukaryotic small subunit ribosomal RNA", at positions 30 to 432 of the family's 1831-position model. Lineage: Eukaryota; Choanoflagellata; Craspedida; Salpingoecidae. The record is from RNAcentral.
GCUUGUCUCAAAGAUUAAGCCAUGCAUGUCUAAGUUUAAAUAGAAAACAGUGAAACUGCGAAUGGCUCAUUAAAUAAUUUUGCAUAUACAAGAUAGUCAACUCUACUUGGAUAACCGUAGUAAUUCUAGAGCUAAUACAUGCGAAAAGACCCGACUUUUUGGAAGGGUUGUAUUUAUUAGAUACAAAACCAAUGCGGAGCAAUCCGGUUUAUGGUGAUUCAUAAUAACUUUUGCGGAUCGCAUGGCCUUGCGCCGGCGAUGAAUCAUUCAAAUUUCUGCCCUAUCAACUUUCGAUGGUAAGGUAUUGGCCUACCAUGGUUACCACGGGUAACGGGGAAUUAGGGUUCGGUUCCGGAGAGGGCGCCUGAGAAAUGGCGACCACAUCCAAGGAAGGCAGCAGG